UAUUUGAAUACUAAAUAAAGGUUCCUUUGCGAUGAUAUCAUCCUCAAGCUUGAUGUUAGUUGAUCUUUGGGCAUGCAAAGGUAUGUGACUAUAUGCGAACAAAUAUGAACAAGCAAGACAUGAGAUAUAAAACUACUAACCAGUAUAACAGCUUUGAUGUUGUCAGUCGUUAAGGGAAAUUCAAGGCCUCCAUGAUCCUGGAGAUUCAGAAGAACAUCAAGUAGAUCAUCCGUUUCAUCAUCACUGUUUCCCAGAUUUGCAUUGCUAGCUCUAUGUUCUUCAAUGAUG
This 288-nucleotide long non-coding RNA is filed under the name Gossypium barbadense (sea-island cotton). RNAcentral's name for it is "long non-coding RNA (GBAR_LNC013289)". Lineage: Eukaryota; Viridiplantae; Streptophyta; Magnoliopsida; Malvales; Malvaceae. The record is from RNAcentral.